AUUGAACGCUGGCGGCAUGCUUUACACAUGCAAGUCGAACGGCAGCGCGGGCUUCGGCCUGGCGGCGAGUGGCGAACGGGUGAGUAAUGCAUCGGAACGUGCCCAGUAGUGGGGGAUAGCCCGGCGAAAGCCGGAUUAAUACCGCAUACGACCUGAGGGUGAAAGCGGGGGACCGAAAGGCCUCGCGCUAUUGGAGCGGCCGAUGUCGGAUUAGCUAGUUGGUGGGGUAAAGGCUUACCAAGGCGACGAUCCGUAGCUGGUCUGAGAGGACGACCAGCCACACUGGGACUGAGACACGGCCCAGACUCCUACGGGAGGCAGCAGUGGGGAAUUUUGGACAGUGGGGGCAACCCUGAUCCAGCCAUGCCGCGUGCGGGAAGAAGGCCUUCGGGUUGUAAACCGCUUUUGUUCGGGAAGAAAUCCUCUGGGCUAACACCCCGGGGGGAUGACGGUACCGGAAGAAUAAGCACCGGCUAACUACGU
Molecule: ribosomal RNA, 483 nt
Filed under: uncultured bacterium
Lineage: Bacteria
Description: partial 16S ribosomal RNA
Rfam family: Bacterial small subunit ribosomal RNA
Source: RNAcentral